UGCAGCAUCAUUAAGGUGACUAGAAAGCAAGUGUAAAAAAUCAGGACAGGGGCAGGGGGGGCUAUAGGUGGCUAUAUCAGAAAAAGCCCCCAAAGCAGGACUGUCCCAAUAAAAUUG
Chelonoidis abingdonii (Abingdon island giant tortoise) is the source of this 117-nucleotide non-coding RNA. The record is from RefSeq and is a predicted model, not a curated record. NCBI's taxonomy places the organism in Eukaryota, Metazoa, Chordata, Testudines, Testudinidae.